Molecule: long non-coding RNA, 4197 nt
Filed under: Gallus gallus (chicken)
Lineage: Eukaryota; Metazoa; Chordata; Aves; Galliformes; Phasianidae
Description: long non-coding RNA NONGGAT002073
Source: RNAcentral
GCGAGGGGGGUUUUGCAAGGCCGGUAGUUUGAGGUACACUUCAGGUACACUUCAACGUUACCUCCCUUUUCAGUUCUGCAUGUGGAAACGGCUCAUGGUCAGAGAUGGGGAGCCAUUACAGAGAUGCAGCACUUAAAACUGAGAAAUGAAAUUACUGCCAAGAUAUCUUGCCAUUGCGAUAAACAGAUCAACUCAGCAGUCACUCAGUGAGCAUUGGUUGGAGCAGUGAGGAACCCAUCAAAAAAUGAACCAUGGAUUCUGCUGCCAUUUGGAAGUACUGCCUCAGAACUCUGUGAACAUUUGUGAUGGAUCAACAGGCAUCUCAGGCUGUUGCACGUCAGCCGCAUCUGUGGAAGUCUGGAGCACGCUGUCAGGAGGACAGCAAUGAAUGUACAGCUGUACCACUUUAAUAUCAGAUGGGGCCGGCAGGUACGCUCAUGACGGAGAGAUGUGCUGCAGAAUUCCACCAAUUGUUUCAGGAAUGCACAUGCUAUUCUGUUACGCAACGAAAACCCAAGGAAGGCAAGGAUGCAUUACGUCUGAAUCAGAGUUAAGUGCAGAACGAACGGGUCCUGUUCAAAACAUCCCGUUACUGUGGUUUAUACAAAGAAUCUUCAAAUCCUGUUGCACCAGUGCAACAACUGCUGUUGCUUCCCCCUGCUCCAGGACUGAGUUUGCUGAUGGAGUUGCACUGUGCUAGAAAGCCACCCCACCCUCCAGAGAAGUAUUAGUUCCGUGAAGUACUUGUUCCAGCAUUCACAAAACCUAACAGCAGUCUAUCUUCUGCACCCUUUAAGUUAAGCACUGAAAAGGGUGACAGAAUGUGUAGUAGGCAUCAGAACAACAGAAAUUUAACUCCACAGAGGCUCAAAUUUAGUGAAUUCAGUAAUUUAUUCCAUCCUCCUUUGUGUGCACCUGCCAUAAAUUGGGUAUCUGUAUACACCAUUCCAUUAUCUUCAACCCCCCUGCAAAUACAUAGUUAUGACAGACACUCAGAAUGGUCAGACUGCUGUUGUACAGCCCUUCUAAUCAGAGCGAGGUGGUGCACUGUGAGAGACUGAUGGGAGCUCCAGGGCAGGUCUUCCAGCUGAAUGGGACUUUGCCCCAUGUUAAUUGCAUUCCUGCUUUUGCAGUUUUAUUUGCAGGACCUGCUGGUUUUUUGGUGUUUUUUUUUUUAAUACAAUGAGGAAGUUCAGUAUAUCAGUACAUGUACUACUUUCAACCUUCCCACCAAAAAAACCCCCCAAAAACCAACCAAAACCAAACGUGGUCAGGGAGAUGGAAUUGAGUACUUAAUUCUCUUAAAAAUUUCUAAGAAUAACAUGAAAAUAUUUCACUCACUUCUAAGGAAUUACCUUGACUUACCUUCAUUGAAAACAUAACUCUGAAUGAGCUUUCGUAUCUGUGUGCUAUACCAGAGACCCAGCUUGGUUCAUUAACAGUUAGGGCGGUUCUACUACUGGAAAACUCUCACUCCUGCUAGAGAUGAAACAUCCACCGUAUGCCGGAUUUAAUAUCAUUCUCUUCUUAAUUGUGAUGGUUGUAGGGAUUACAAGCAGCCUAUGUUAGUGACAAAAUAGAGGAAGCACAAGAGACUUUGUUCCAGCCAAAUGGGCCACUUAAGAAACAAAACCAUAAUUUAUUACUUUUGUAUGGGCUAGAGCUUGAGAAAGAAAAGAAAGAAAUCCUCUUAAAAUCCCCUUCGCAUGACAGCUGACUGAGCCCAGACUUUGUACAGACAGACCAUCUUUAGGAGAGUUCAGAAGCAAUGUACUCCGCCCAGUCACUGUCUUUAGAGGUAGUGCUUAAGGUGACCUGUAACAGAGGCGUAUCCUUUUUUGCUUCUUUAUGCUGUUUGUAGAAGGAGAAACUGAGUGACUAGGGGAUUCCUAUUUCUGACACUAAUUUACGUGGUGGAGGAAAGUCUUUUGUCUGAAUGUGCUUCAGGUUUUUCAGUGGUAACUUACCAUCUUCUGGAGUGUGCUUUGCAGUCUGCAGGUGGAAAUGAAUGUAAGGAAAGGCCAAAAUGUGUGCGGGCACGGCAGCAGGAAAGAGCAUUACUUAUUUAUCUAAAAACACUAGAUACCUGCUUUUUUGAUCCAAAGUUUCUUGAAAAAUAUGAAAAUAUGAAAAUAGAAGAUUUCUUCUAGUUCUUUUCACACCACAGGUCUUGCCUCUUACCACAGAACUUUUUCCUGUCUUUUAAUGCAACUCAACUAAGCAAAUACUGAUUAAAAGGUUUGUUUCACACACGUGUGUACUGACUCCGCUUCUGCAUAGUUCUGUUUCUUGUUUUUGUUUGUUUGUUUUCUUUGCUUUUUUUCUAAAUCUCCCACCUGCACUGAAUUCUUCAUCCCUUUCUGGAGCCUGACCAUAAAAAAAACAAACAAAAAAAAAAAGGCAGGGGGGAAGGCUGCAUUGCCACGUGAGGAAAAAAGAACCAAAACCUUCAAAAGGGGAGAAGGAGAAGCUCUCACAACUUCUUCAUACAUCCUAAAGAAGCAAAAGAGGAAAUAAAUGUUCCUUCUUUACAGGUUGCCUUUAAGAUUCCUGACUCUAGAGUGCACACUACACUGGGCAUUUCUUGCAUCUGCUUAGAUGGAGAUGGACAUCCUGCACACCAGCUGCAGUGACUUUUGGAGGGAGGCUGAGGAAUGACGGUUUUGGGUAAUGGAUCUCAGCUCCUGGGUGAUGGAAACAGAAAUGCUGGUGUCGACAGCCUGCCCGACGCUGGGCAUGGGAAAGGCCUACAAUCAGGUCACAGCUCCAGUGGCUACUAACCUCCCCCUCAUCCUGUAGCACAGAUGAACAGCAUGACUCCAAUGAGAAAGCAGGUUGGUUUAGCCAGUGAAAGCAAAAUUUAAGAAAUCAAACAGUACAUAAAAAACAAAGGAGGCAGAGUUUGUUGGAAAUGGUAUCUUGGAAAUCAGUGCAUCAGCACUGGUUAGAUUGCCUCAGCACCUAUGAACCAAUGCAGGGAGAUCACUGCACAGAUAUGUACAAUCCUGCUCUCAAAAGAGCCAAUAUCUUCUUAGAAUUGCCAUCUUUCCACUGCCUGCUGCUCAUGCACCUUCCAGACUGACAGUUCAUAAAAUCCCUGAUUUCAGCAAUGAGCUUUCACUUCUGUACAGCAACAAAAUAUGUCCCUAGUGCAACUGCUUCUACUCAAGUGUGUCCCAGAGCUGGGAGGAAAGCAGUUUCAAAAUCAGCUUGCCACCUUUCCUCCUUCUUCCCCCUCCGCUUAAAAUUGUAUUUUUCAGCUUCUGCAAGUCUCUAUGGCUUGUGUGCCAUGUGGUGCGGUUAAGAAACUGCAGAAGGAAGAACCAUCCACUGCACAGAAAGUUAAAAAAACGUAACGGAAAGGUGUAAAAGGAAAUUUGAAAGGAAAGCAGCAGCCUCCCUUGCUGGCCCUAUUGCGUAUGCGGGCUCCAGCCAAGCCUGUGGCAGUAGAAGUCAGCUUGCUGUUCUCCGAGUCCUCAGCUCUCUGCGCUCUGGUCACACCUGGAACGAUGACGCAAGCUGCUUACCAGCAGUUGUUCCUACUGCUCACUGAUGCCGUGCUCCCAUGCUACCCUGGCCUGCUCUUCCUUUCCACCACUCACUGGCUGGGACACUUUACGAUGCAACUGGCGGUGUUUGUCAUCAUCUUCAAUUAUCAUUCCCUCCUCGUUCUCUAUGUUUGGCAGCCGGGAGUGGUAAGGUUUGGGGGGCAGAGCAGGAGGGUCCAGGGUGUCCUGAGGAAUGACUCCUGAUGGAGCUGAGUGGCUUCGGCAUGGCUGGGAUUUGAGCGACUCAAGGACAUCAGGCUCAGAGAGACUGUACCUGACAGGGAGGUAGGGUGUCUCUAGAUCUUCGUCAGUGUUCCAGGCCUGGCUGGGGACAGAAUCCAUGGUGUCUGUGCGAGGAGGUGGUUCAGAGGAAUGUCCAAAAUUACUCUCGCUCAAGGAGGAGACGCCGCUGCUUGCGCUGCCGGACAAAGUGGAGUUACUUCCAUCUAGACCAGACUGCGGACUGGUGGGUGAUGCAGGGAUGGGAUGAAGAGGGGACUGUUUGGAGAAAAAAAGAAAUCGCAUUAAAAUCAAUGAGGCAACACCGCAGCUCGUUAACAUUUCAGCUUUUGACAGUGAUGUUAAUAACGGUGCAGUUCUGGCUGUGUUCAAAAUGUCAGCUAUUGACAGUUUGUAUAUAUAUUCCCCC